CGAACGCUGGCGGCGUGCCUAAUACAUGCAAGUCGAACGCUUCUUUCCUCCCGAGUGCUUGCACUCAAUUGGAAAGAGGAAUGGCGGACGGGUGAGUAACACGUGGGUAACCUACCCAUCAGAGGGGGAUAACACUUGGAAACAGGUGCUAAUACCGCAUAACAGUUUAUGCCGCAUGGCAUAAGAGUGAAAGGCGCUUUCGGGUGUCGCUGAUGGAUGGACCCGCGGUGCAUUAGCUAGUUGGUGAGGUAACGGCUCACCAAGGCCACGAUGCAUAGCCGACCUGAGAGGGUGAUCGGCCACACUGGGACUGAGACACGGCCCAGACUCCUACGGGAGGCAGCAGUAGGGAAUCUUCGGCAAUGGACGAAAGUCUGACCGAGCAACGCCGCGUGAGUGAAGAAGGUUUUCGGAUCGUAAAACUCUGUUGUUAGAGAAGAACAAGGACGUUAGUAACUGAACGUCCCCUGACGGUAUCUAACCAGAAAGCCACGGCUAACUACGUG
Molecule: ribosomal RNA, 506 nt
Filed under: uncultured bacterium
Lineage: Bacteria
Description: partial 16S ribosomal RNA
Rfam family: Bacterial small subunit ribosomal RNA
Source: RNAcentral